UGUAACCGCCAUACGGAUAAGAAGCCCGGAAACCUCUCCACUAACCUAGAGCACUUGUACUCCAACGCUAGCUGCUGAAGUGGGAGUAAAUACACAGCAUCAUGAAGGAAAUACAAUCUAUGCCUUUUCAUUCCUCUGUGAAGUAAACACACAGCAUCAUGAAGGAAAUACCAUCUAUGACUUUUCAUUCCUCUGUGGAGUAAACACACAGCAUCAUGAAGGAAAUACCAUCUAUGACUUUUCAUUCCUCUGUGGGGUGCCUCCUUCCCUGAAAACAGAACUAGCCACUGUCUACUUCAGCUCCGUCAAGCACUCAAAGUUACUAAGAAGAAAGAGAAGGCAAACAUUUUCUAGAAAAAGCAUACUUUAGAGAGGAGAUCACAUAGGUACGAUUGCAUAGAAGACAAUGUUAGCCCCAGUUAAACCUCAGUACUGAGGAGGUAGCCGUUUUUCCCAUGGCCUCCCAUUCAAUCAGUGGUUAGUCAGCCUUGUACAUUUCUCUAAUGUUUCCUUGAACUCUCUCCAGUUCAGUCCUAAAAAUAAAAUAAGUUUGAAUGAUCAAA
This is a long non-coding RNA of Mesocricetus auratus (golden hamster), 563 nucleotides long. RefSeq lists it as uncharacterized. The record is from RefSeq and is a predicted model, not a curated record. Lineage: Eukaryota; Metazoa; Chordata; Mammalia; Rodentia; Cricetidae. The transcript has 2 exons.